AUUGAACGCUGGCGGAAUGCUUUACACAUGCAAGUCGAACGGUAGAGGGGGCAACCCCUUGAGAGUGGCGAACGGGUGAGUAAUAUAUCGGAACGUGCCCAGUCGUGGGGAUAACGUAGCGAAAGUUACGCUAAUACCGCAUACGAUCUAAGGAUGAAAGCGGGGGACUCGCAAGAGCCUCGCGCGAUUAGAGCGGCCGAUAUCAGAUUAGGUAGUUGGUGGGGUAAAGGCUCACCAAGCCAACGAUCUGUAGCUGGUCUGAGAGGACGACCAGCCACACUGGAACUGAGACACGGUCCAGACUCCUACGGGAGGCAGCAGUGGGGAAUUUUGGACAAUGGACGCAAGUCUGAUCCAGCCAUUCCGCGUGCAGGAUGAAGGCCCUCGGGUUGUAAACUGCUUUUGUACGGAACGAAAGGUUUCUAUUAAUACUAGGAGCUCAUGACGGUACCGUAAGAAUAAGCACCGGCUAACUACGUGCCAGCAGCCGCGGUAAAGUG
This 500-nucleotide ribosomal RNA is filed under the name uncultured bacterium. RNAcentral's name for it is "bacterial SSU rRNA". It matches the Rfam family "Bacterial small subunit ribosomal RNA", at positions 30 to 527 of the family's 1533-position model. The record is from RNAcentral.